RNAcentral lists this long non-coding RNA (871 nucleotides) under Trifolium pratense (red clover). RNAcentral's name for it is "long non-coding RNA (TPRA_LNC004556)". Lineage: Eukaryota; Viridiplantae; Streptophyta; Magnoliopsida; Fabales; Fabaceae. The record is from RNAcentral.
UUAUUAUUAUUAUUAUUUACUGAUUUUGGUUUUGAAAUAUUAUUAUAUUAUAUUGCUGCUUCUGCUGAGAUCUUAUCAGUAUGCUGUUUGGCUGUUCUGGAAAUUAGAAAACAUGAUAAUGACAGUAAAAUUAUAUGCUUUUGUCAUUUGGGUUUUCAUUUUUUCUAAUAAAAUAAAAGUUUACAAAUAGGUGAAUUAAAUUAAUAAGAAAUCUUACAUCCAAAAUCAUGGAUUUUGUGACUUUUGUUGAGGCUUUGUAAAUUUGAUUUUCUUCAAAAUUUGGGAUAGGGGAAUUUUUUUUAUUAAUCAAAGUGACACUGAUGGUCAUUUUACAACAGUCUCCGACGAGAUUUGAAUUCGACUCUUACCACUGAGCUAGCACCUCAAUUAUAUUUAUUAAUUGCUUUCGUUAAAAGAAAAUUUUGAUGAAGUGGUUUACAUUUAGAUUCUCUGUUCAAUGCAAAAACUAACGUUUUAUUAAAGCAAGAUUGCAUUUAUGUGAGUUAACAUCAUAAGAACUAAUGAAUGCAAAAAAAAGAGAAUGGUUUCAUAGCUCAAAGAUCAUUGGAGAACUUAAAAGCUUGUGUUUUUUUAGUGCCUGUUUGGAUUAAUGGUUGCAAUUUGAUUGUAUACUAUCUUGAUUUUACAAAUUGAUUGUUUAAAAUGUUAGUUUUGAGUGAAUUUGCAUAUGGUUGAAAACUUUUAUCGCAACAGUAGGUUUCUGGUAAAAACUGCGCAUAACUCUUAACUUUACAUUGAGUUACGUUUUUUACUUUUAUUGAACGUUCAUUUUGGAGCAAACUUUAUUUUACACGAAAACAAUCAAACGGCAAACAGGACUUUUUUUAACAAAAUCAUGUUUCUCUUCGAC